RNAcentral lists this transfer RNA (87 nucleotides) under Candidatus Tagabacteria bacterium CG_4_10_14_0_2_um_filter_40_13. RNAcentral's name for it is "tRNA-Leu". It matches the Rfam family "tRNA". From Rfam's summary of the family: Transfer RNA (tRNA) molecules are approximately 80 nucleotides in length. The record is from RNAcentral. RNAcentral also lists the same sequence under 3 other names. Lineage: Bacteria; Candidatus Tagaibacteriota.
GCCCAGGUGUUGGAAUCGGUAGACAAGAUGGUCUCAAAAACCAUUGGGAGCAAUCCCGUGGGGGUUCGAAUCCCCCUCUGGGCACCA